Molecule: ribosomal RNA, 253 nt
Filed under: uncultured bacterium
Lineage: Bacteria
Description: partial 16S ribosomal RNA
Rfam family: Bacterial small subunit ribosomal RNA
Source: RNAcentral
UACAGGGGGGGCAAGCGUUGUUCGGAAUUACUGGGCGUAAAGGACGCGUAGGCGGCCUGUUAAGUCGAACGUGAAAUCCCUGGGCUCAACCCAGGAACUGCGUCCGAUACUGGCAGGCUUGAAUCCGGGAGAGGGAUGUGGAAUUCCAGGUGUAGCGGUGAAAUGCGUAGAUAUCUGGAGGAACACCGGUGGCGAAGGCGGCAUCCUGGACCGGUAUUGACGCUGAGGCGCGAAAGCCAGGGGAGCAAACGGG